Molecule: ribosomal RNA, 301 nt
Filed under: uncultured bacterium
Lineage: Bacteria
Description: partial 16S ribosomal RNA
Rfam family: Bacterial small subunit ribosomal RNA
Source: RNAcentral
CAGUCGCCGCGGUAAUACGUAGGUGGCAAGCGUUAUCCGGAAUUAUUGGGCGUAAAGCGCGCGUAGGCGGUUUUUUAAGUCUGAUGUGAAAGCCCACGGCUCAACCGUGGAGGGUCAUUGGAAACUGGAAAACUUGAGUGCAGAAGAGGAAAGUGGAAUUCCAUGUGUAGCGGUGAAAUGCGCAGAGAUAUGGAGGAACACCAGUGGCGAAGGCGACUUUCUGGUCAGUAACUGACGCUGAUGUGCGAAAGCGUGGGGAUCAAACAGGAUUAGAUACCCGCGUAGUCCCUGUCUCUUAUAC